UGUUAAGCCAGCAGGUGCAUAAAGCA
Molecule: non-coding RNA, 26 nt
Filed under: Homo sapiens (human)
Lineage: Eukaryota; Metazoa; Chordata; Mammalia; Primates; Hominidae
Source: RNAcentral